CCAGGCCAAUGGAGUUAUGUUCCCAGGGGGAUUAUGGCUGCCUCUGUUGAGUCACACAGGUCACCAGGGAAGUGGGGGAAAGCUGGCAGUCACAGGCCUCACCCCUCUCCCACACAGCCCUCAGUCCUAAAGGCUGGUCUCACUCCCAUCCUGCCACGCAACAGCACAGGGUCUAUUUCGAGACAGCCAGUGACCAGGGCUGAGAACUUGCCCCAGACCACCAGCCUCCUCACUGAGAAAGCAAGCAGAAUCACAGUUUUUUGGAAUCUCAGGGAGCCUUCAGCGGCAAUCCAGUUCCUUCAAAGGGUCUGUGGAUUCUCUCAGUUUUCAUGAAGCUGGCAUGUAAUUCUCGUUAACUCCAUGAGCAGAGUUUCAAUACUGCCCUGACCAAUGGGCAAAGAUGAUUCCCAGGCUGGAUCCCUGAACGCUAACUGACAUCCUGCUUUUCUUAAGGGAUAUGGAAAUUUCCCUGGGACAGCUGUGCUCUGCUGGCUAAGGAGCCCACAAGGUUAAUGAACACCCACAAAGACUGAGGAGGAUAGAGAGCAUUCUUCACUGGAUGAUUAGCAUGCCAGCAUUCUUUCCUCUGUGAAACCAGCCAAGGCAAUGUGAAGGAUUCCAAGAGAGGCAAUAUGGAUGAAACCAUUUAUUAGAUUUAUAAGAGCUGAAGGAAAGUGGUAAAGCUAUCCAUCUUCUAUACUUUAUUGAGAACAGGACCAAUGACUCAGACUAUCAGGACAGUAUCUCCAAGACAGAAUUGAAAUCCUAAAGGGUGUCAGCUGUGACCCUCGAAGGAAAGGGAUCACCCUCUUUCUGACCCUAUACCACCUUCAGCAGGGAUGAAGGCAGUCAGAGAAAACUUAGUUAAAAAAUUUCUAAACUGCUUUGCUGAUUUGAUCUGGGGCCCUGGAGUGCCAACAUCCUGUGAUAGCGGCUGAUUGUUGAUGCCUGGGAGGAUACAGCAGUGACGAUCCAAAUUUACAAGACUCAACAUGGUUUUCAAAACUUCCUUUUAAAAAAGAUGUUCCUGAGUUCUGGAAUCUGAACAAAAUAUGUCUGGUUAUUAUAUAAUUCUAAUGGUCCUUGUGGAUGCUACCAUUAGAGUUCAGUUAGUGUCUCAUCUAUCACUGUAAUAUUUGUAUUGUAACACUAAUCGUGGCAAAGUAUGAUUUGAUAAAUGCUCAUUCUCAAA
RNAcentral lists this long non-coding RNA (1192 nucleotides) under Homo sapiens (human). Its description in RNAcentral is "HSALNT0297868". The record is from RNAcentral. Lineage: Eukaryota; Metazoa; Chordata; Mammalia; Primates; Hominidae.